UUGCCCCUUAAAUGGUACAAAGAUAGAAGGUACAAUUUUGUACCUAUGACUAGAGGUACAAAAUUGUACCCUUCAGGGUACCACCCCGGCGUCGGCCACUUGUACCUUAAAAGGUACAGUUUUGUACGUUUCUUUCUGAGAGUGUAGGAGAAAAAUAUUGAAUAGCUUCAACUGCAACAAGCCUGAAGAUGACAUCUGCACACAACAGAAAUCAUGUUUCUAUGGACUGUGUUAUCUUUUGCCUCCUUUAGGUUUGGCCAUCGGUGGAGGGGGGGCUCUCUCUCUCUCUCUCUCUCGCUCGCUCUUUCUCUGUAAUUUCUCUCUCUCGCAGGUAAUAUUUUACAUUCAUGCUGGGUACAAUUAACUGUUUAUGUUUAACCAUUCUUCAUCUAUUUUGUGGCAGUGGGUGGUAAUAGACUAGAAAUGCACAGUUUUAUACCAUCGUGCUGAUGACGUUUAUUCAAGCCUGAACACUGCAGGGAAACCAAUUUUUACAAUUCCUAGGAAGCUGCAUUAAUCGAGAUGCGCGUGUGCUUGAUAUGACCGACAGCAGGUCUGUCUUUCAGUGUGAGUAUCUCUCGCGGUCUCCGGAUGUAAUAGUUCAUGUGUGACGCAGUGCAUCCUGUAUAGUACUCCCCUAAGCAGUGAACUGCCCGCUUCUCCCUCAGAUUGAUAUCAAUAACGAGGACACGCGCUAGAAUUAAUUCAGAAGGUUUCCGGUGAAGAAUCAUUCUGCUCUCUGCACGCGGUUUUUGGCCAAGGAUUCUCUUAAGCACUGAAUCAUGUUUAACGUCAUCAAUGUGUCAUGUGCAGAGAUUGAGAGCGCAGGGGGGUUUCUGUUUGUGAUUCAGUCUGUUAUACUGAACCAAACACUCAGUGCUGACUGUGAGCAGAGCUGGUAUUCACAGGACAGGCGUCUGAUCGCAGAUCCAUCAAAACCACACAAAGUGAUUGAUCCUGCGACGUCUGUAUCAUCUGAUCAUCUCUUCACUUCUUACUGUGUGAAUCUGAAUCAUGAGAUCAUCUGUGAUUCUGCUGAUGGAUCUCAUUUCAGUCGUGAGACCGUGUUCAGAGUGAGGAAUGAAACUCCAGUGACUCCAGACUCAGAUGUUCUGAAUGAAGUGACUCUCCAGCUCUCAGAUCAUUGGCUGUGGAUUCUGGUUGUUUUUAUUAUUGUAGUCCUUAUCAUCAUCUUGAUCUGUUUCUUGCGGCAGAAAAAGAAACUCGGAUGUUCUCCGAAUGUCUUUCUGCGCCAUGAUUCAGAAAACAGGGAUCCUGAAUCUGGUGUCCANUGUCCAAAUGAAGCUCAGAUCUGAUGAAUCUGAUUCACUGAAUCACUCUGUGCUGAACUGAAUCUCCGUUCAUCGUGACGUUCAUCGCUGAGUUUAGGAGUAAAUAUGAAAAGUGUUGAGAAGAUCCUGACCAUCAUCUGGACAUGGAGCCGCUUAACUCUCAGAUUCAGAUUUUCAGUCUUCAAGUUGGUCUCAACGAAUCAGAAGAGUCAGUUGAUCUUGUGUUCAGAUCAGUGAAACCUCUUUAACUCUCAUUGUUUCAGCUCAUUCACACAGUUUUAAAGUAUUUAUGAGUGAUUUCACUGUGAGGGAAUUGAGCUUUUAAUUCUUGCAGACGAGACUCAUUCCUUGAUCAUGGUUCUGUAUUCUGUGUAAAUAUAAUGCAGCUGCUGAUAUAAUAAAGAGGAGGAAUCUGCUAAAUGCUGUGAUUUU
Molecule: long non-coding RNA, 1724 nt
Organism: Cyprinus carpio (common carp)
Lineage: Eukaryota; Metazoa; Chordata; Actinopteri; Cypriniformes; Cyprinidae
Source: Ensembl